Long non-coding RNA from Panicum virgatum (switchgrass), 1256 nucleotides. RefSeq lists it as uncharacterized. The record is from RefSeq and is a predicted model, not a curated record. NCBI's taxonomy places the organism in Eukaryota, Viridiplantae, Streptophyta, Magnoliopsida, Poales, Poaceae. The transcript is spliced from 5 exons.
CCGCCGUUUGCGAGGCCCGGCGCUCUGCCGCUACCGCCUGCACGCGGUCCUCCCCAAACCCUAGUCUCUUUUGUUUCCCCAGCAUCUUCAUUGCCGCCGUCACUGCUUCCUUCCAGGACGCCGGUCGCCGUCGAAAUUCGUCGUAUCCGAUCAGCCUCCUUCGAUUCAUCGCGGCCAUACCUUCACCUUUCCCUCCGCGGCCUAUUUGAGCCCUCACCCGCUCGACUUCUCCACCGCACAGCGCUCCCGGCGACCACCUCCGACAUCCCGAGGAUCUCCUUGGCCCCCAGCGCCAACGGCAGGUCGUCGGCGAUGGGCAGAGCGGUCAAACAUGCCCACAGGCGGGUCCUUCCCCAUGAGCGGCUUCUUUUUCAAGGCUUCGCCUCAAGAUCUGCAGACGCUGACCUCUCCUCACCGUGUGCCUCUAGUGUCGCCGUUCGUCUUCUCAGCAUGACGGCCGCCGUGGCUGGCGGGACUCGGGAGCAAGAAGCGGCAGCGGCCGAACCUCCACGUCAAGUUGGCCUCACGCUAGCUGCAUGAGACUCCGGCAAUGGGAAGAAGAGACAUCGCCGCAGCAGAAGGUCACCAAGACGAACUCAUCUGACAGAGUCCUCCCGCUCGGGCAACAUUUCCAGAUGGUGCUUUUUGUUCAUUACUUUGCUGGCCAAGGCGGCCAACUGACCAAUCAGGUGAGUGCAAACAAAUCAGAUGUGUUAUUUCGGUCACCUUGAAGCUGCAGGCGGUAUGCACAUGGAUAGAUAUCAUUGACAUAGGGUUAGUGGACGCCCUCUGAAGGCUACGAGGCAGCAUCUGGGAAGGUGAAGCUGAUGGAGGGAGGGCGAUGUGGUGGAAGGAUCUCUCAUCGGCGGAGGCGUUCGUGGGGGCGGCGCCCAAAAGUCCAGGACGUCUGCAUCAUCUGCCUCGAGACCUUCUCCAGCAGCAACCCCUCUGCGGUGACCAUCUGCAAACACACUGUCCACCUCCAGGGCAUCCUUCAGCGGUUGCGUGGCUGGCUCAUUUGAAUAAUUUAGUCCACUAAACUACAUAUACAUGGUACGUUGUCAAUCGACACAAUCCUUACAUACCUUUGCUGUUCUUAUGAUCUUUUAUAGUCCAAUGUUUAUGAUCUUUUAUAGUCCAGUGUUUUAUAGUCAAUGGGCAUCAGAAUGGACUCUUUAAUGGACUCUUUCAAAGUAAGUUUAGGCUCUACUAAUUUAACUGCUCUUCGAUAAAGAUUCUUUACAGCAUGCAUGCAA